Non-coding RNA from Dipodomys ordii (Ord's kangaroo rat), 73 nucleotides. The record is from Rfam. Lineage: Eukaryota; Metazoa; Chordata; Mammalia; Rodentia; Heteromyidae.
UGGAAUGUGGCUUAGUGGUAGAGUACUUGCCUGACAUGCAUGAAGCCUUGGGUUCAAUUCCUCAGCACCACAA